Molecule: long non-coding RNA, 1484 nt
Organism: Lycium ferocissimum
Lineage: Eukaryota; Viridiplantae; Streptophyta; Magnoliopsida; Solanales; Solanaceae
Exons: 3
Source: RefSeq, a predicted model, not a curated record
UUAAAGAGUUUUUCUAAUCAAAGUUUGUCUUAUGAUAUCAUACAGUGGCCACGUUCUUGUUCUUAUUUACAAGUUUGUUUAAAAAUCACUGCUUUAUUAUUCAGCAAGUUGAAUUUUAACCACAAUAAUUUUCAGUUUUAUUUAUUUUAUUUUAUUUUUAAUUAACCAUAAUGCAUUACAAUCUGGGAAUUGAUCACAUGGUCCUAAAAGGACUACAUCAACUGCUUGACUUGAAAUCAAAAGGAGAGCCAAACAAAAGAAUCCAAUUAGUAGAAUGGAUUUGUUAAUAGCCAUUUUCUCAAAUCAGAAGCUUUUUUUCAUCUAUGUGUUUUUCUGUCUUGUUUUGUGUGCAUUUUCAGUUUUAUUUGCUGAAACUUCAAAGUGUUUUUGCGCCUUACAAAAGCUUGUUUACAACCAGACAUGGGUAGGAAUGGUCUUCGGAAAAAAACUAGUCGGUUGACUGAUAAUGGUAAUAUGAAACCUUCUAAGAGUGCUCAAACGGCGCCGGUUAAAGAAAAUUUGCCCACACAACAGGUGGAAGAACUUGUUUAUCUGGGAAGCGUGGACACGCAAGGUGAGAUUGAAAUUAGCUACCAUUAUGGUGGUUAUUUUGUGUUCUCGCCUUCUAGAAAAUAUGUAAACGGGAUCGAAAUAUUAGUGAAUAUUUCGGGGGUAGACCAACAAAGGUACAACUCAUAAAGCAAUUAGAAUCGACAAGAAAGCAAUCGAACGAGCGUGUGGAAGAAGUUAAAAGGGAAGCUAAGAAGCAAAUUGAAGAAAUGAAGAAAGAAACGGAUAAUAAGAUAGCAAAGUUGGAGAAACAACGGGCAGCAAAAUUUCAAAUGUUGGUUGCAGCUCAAGGCCGAAAAUCAAAUGAUGCAAAUCUAACCCUAGUGGAGUAGUGAUGGAAGCAUCAAAAUCGAUGGGGACAUGAAGAAUUAUUUUUUCUCUUACAAAGUAUAUUGAUAUGUUUGAAUAAAGUGAUGUUUCACUAUUUUGGAUGACAUUGUUGAACCUUUGUUACGUCUUUUUUCUAAUAUAUUGCAUUUAUUACACAAUUGAAGAUAUAUUGCUACGAUAUUGUCUAUAAAUUUCAUGUAAAAAAUGAAUUCUCAGCUACAUUAUGUGGCUAACAAUGUCGGUGACAAAUAUUUCAAUUAGUAGCUAUGAAAUUUUUGGAUUUGUAGCUAAACGUACAUAUAAUUGCCACACAAAUGAGAAUAUGGACACACAUUUUUAUUUCCGUAGCAAAUGAAAAAAUCUUUUGCUACAAUUUUGUCUCUCGUGACAAAAAGUAUACACUUUUAGCUAUGAACUUUUGAGUUCGUAGCUAGACAUAUACUCCUAUAAUUGCCACUUAUCAAAACAUGGCUACAAAUUUACAAUUUUCGUAGCAAAUGAAGAUUCUUUUUAGGUAUAAUGCUAUUUAUUUCGUAGCUAAAGGUAUGGCUUCAUAGCUUCAAUAUGAAAAUAUUUGAGGCAAA